Molecule: long non-coding RNA, 383 nt
Organism: Adelges cooleyi (spruce gall adelgid)
Lineage: Eukaryota; Metazoa; Arthropoda; Insecta; Hemiptera; Adelgidae
Exons: 3
Source: RefSeq, a predicted model, not a curated record
GUUACAGCUACCCCUGUGCCGGUUGUUGAAAACCCAACAGCUAUUGGUUGGAUAGACCUUGGAAAAGAUCGAAUCUCGAGAAUUAAUGUAGCCCUGCAAGCUAUAAUCGCCACUAUUGAAACAGAUGCACAUUUUGCUUUGCCGAUCAUGAUAUGUCGUUUGAAAGGAAUGCUCUUGAGUAUGAAUCAGCCCAGUGCACGUAUUAUAAAAAAUGUCAAGUUGGACGAUGCUUAUAAUUGUGUCCUAACUGCUGUAAACAACGAUACAUAUAUUCUCACUGCUGUUUGGGAGCCAAGCAUGGCAAGCAUACUUCAAUCGAGUGAAAUGUAAAAAAGCGUUCACUUGCCACUCGGUUAUGACGAAACACAUCAAGCAUUUAAAAU